AUGGUCGUUUGUUCCCUACUAUUUUUAUUUCGUGGGAUUUCCAUUUUUGUUUUAUAAUUUUAUGAGGCUUUGGAUCAGUUUUGUUUAUGCCAUUUUAGAAGCACAGUUACAGUUCUUCCUCAUUGAGGAAGUUUUGUAUGAAACUUAUCAAAUUCGUUAUUUGAAAGGAUGGAAAUAUUUACAAGAUACUCGCUAUCAGCAAGAUAUAGGAAAAUCGUUACGUCUUUGUAUCGCUCACCAUAACGCUUUGAAAAAGUCUUGACUGUACUUAUGAAAUCGAUAUUUUUAAGUUUGCAAAUUACUUACAGGUUGUUGAAAAUGGUUGUGAAUGUAACAAUGACAACCAUGCCGUUUUUUCUGGUAUUUGGAGUUUUACUUCUCAUCAGUUCGUUCGCAUUCAUCAUAAAUUUUGCCGACACUAUGACCAACAUUUUAAAAAUACGCAUGUUUAUGUUUGCCUUAAGCAUUAUGUGUGUCGCUGUAGUGCUGUGUUGGAUUGGUCAACAAGUGAUAGAUGUGACGAGUAAAAUUUUUUUUGCGUUAGUCGGAGCUCCUUGGUACUUUUGGAAUGCUGCAAACAUUAAAAUUCUUUUGAUGUUUAUAACGAACUGUACCCAAAACGAUAGUAUUGUUUUGGCCGGGAUUUGUUUAGAUUACAAUCUGUUUGUUACCGUACGUACAUCA
Molecule: RNA transcript, 684 nt
Organism: Tribolium castaneum (red flour beetle)
Lineage: Eukaryota; Metazoa; Arthropoda; Insecta; Coleoptera; Tenebrionidae
Exons: 3
Source: RefSeq, a predicted model, not a curated record